Molecule: ribosomal RNA, 827 nt
Filed under: uncultured bacterium
Lineage: Bacteria
Description: bacterial SSU rRNA
Rfam family: Bacterial small subunit ribosomal RNA
Source: RNAcentral
AGAGUUUGAUCCUGGCUCAGGAUGAACGCUAGCUACAGGCUUAACACAUGCAAGUCGAGGGGCAGCAUGUUGUGUGCUUGCACACAAUGAUGGCGACCGGCGCACGGGUGAGUAACGCGUAUCCAACCUUCCCAUGACUCCGGUUCAGCCCGCCGAAAGGCGGAUUACUCCCGGAUGGUUUCCGAAGAGGGCAUCUGAUUUGGAAUAAAGAUUGAUCGGUCAUGGAUGGGGAUGCGUCUGAUUAGGCAGCAGGCGGGGUAACGGCCCACCUGGCCUACGAUCAGUAGGGGUUCUGAGAGGAAGGUCCCCCACACUGGAACUGAGACACGGUCCAGACUCCUACGGGAGGCAGCAGUGAGGAAUAUUGGUCAAUGGGCGAGAGCCUGAACCAGCCAAGUAGCGUGCAGGAUGACGGCCCUAUGGGUUGUAAACUGCUUUUAUAUGAGGAUAAAGUUCGUUACGUGUAACGUUUUGCAGGUAUCAUAUGAAUAAGGACCGGCUAAUUCCGUGCCAGCAGCCGCGGUAAUACGGAAGGUCCGGGCGUUAUCCGGAUUUAUUGGGUUUAAAGGGAGCGCAGACGGUCAGUUAAGCGUGCAGUUAAAUGAUGUGGCUCAACCAUGUUAUGCUGCGCGAACUGGCUGACUUGAGUUCACGGAACGUGGGCGGAAUUUGUGGUGUAGCGGUGAAAUGCUUAGAUAUCACGAAGAACUCCGAUUGCGAAGGCAGCCCGCGGCAGUGUUACUGACGUUCAUGCUCGAAGGUGCGGGUAUCGAACAGGAUUAGAUACCCUGGUAGUCCGCACGGUAAACGAUGGAUGCCCCCCUGUC